AUGAAGACCUUAUUCCUCCUAGCUCUCCUUUCUCUUGUAGUGAGCACAACCAUUGCGCAAUACAAAGAGGUUGGCGGCAGCUAUGAGAACGGUGGCGGAGGGUUUGGUUCUCAAAACUGCCCACCGGAGAAGACGAAGCUGGACUCUUGCAAGGAUUAUGUGAUGGAGUGGUGCUUGGCGGUGAAGGGUUUUUCAAUCGCCAGGCUUUUGAAAUGGUGGAAGGGCGCCUGUGAACAAGAGGCCCUAGACCAGUGUUGCCAGCAACUACGCCCGAUAGCAAAGAAGUGCCGUUGUGAGGCCAUUUGGAGAGCCGUCCAAGGCAACCUUGGUGGCAUCUUUGGUUUUCAGCAAGGCCAGAUAACCAAACAAAUUCAGAGGGCCAUGAUGUUGCCGUCCAAAUGCAAAUUGGAUUCCAACUGCAAGUUCGUCGCUACUAAUGGCUAUUACUAGUGA
Molecule: ribosomal RNA, 453 nt
Filed under: Triticum aestivum (bread wheat)
Lineage: Eukaryota; Viridiplantae; Streptophyta; Magnoliopsida; Poales; Poaceae
Description: partial small subunit ribosomal RNA
Source: RNAcentral